RNAcentral lists this small RNA (683 nucleotides) under uncultured fungus. RNAcentral's name for it is "eukaryotic LSU rRNA". The stretch from base 238 to 392 matches the Rfam family "5.8S ribosomal RNA". Lineage: Eukaryota; Fungi. The record is from RNAcentral.
AAGUCGUACCAGGUUUCUGUAGGUGAACCUGCGGAAGGAUCAUUAUGGUACUACAGAGGCAUGAAGGUUGUCGCUGACCUUUCUGAAUGGUUGUGCACGCCGGAGUGCUCUCACACAAUCCACCUCACCACUUGUGCUUCACCGCGCAGGGUCGCUCCCUCUUCGAGAGGGGGAGGCUUGCGUCUCUUUCACACACACACAAUAUACAGUCUGGUAGUUUAGGAUGUCAAUCAAUACAACUUUCAACAAUGGAUCUCUUGGCUCUCGCAUCGAUGAAGAACGCAGCGAAAUGCGAUACGUAAUGUGAAUWGCAGAAUUCAGUGAAUCAUCCGAAUCUUUGAACGCACCUUGCACCCCUUGGUAUUCCGAGGGGUACACCCGUUUGAGUGUCGUGAAUUUCUCAAACCUUCUUGGUUUCUCGAUCAAGAAGGCUUUGGACUUUGGAGGUCUUUGCCGGCUUUGUGAAAAGUCGGCUCCUCUUAAAUGCAUUAGUGGGGUCCCCUUUGCCGAUCUCUAGGCGUGUGGAUAAUACACUUCUACCCCCUUGGGGAAUUUGCCUCUGUUGCCCUGGGGAAACCUGCUUCUAACUGUCUCCAUCGGAGACAUCGUUCGAGCUUGCUCGACACACGAACCCUGACCUCAAAUCGGGUGAGACUACCCGCUGAACUUAAGCAUAUCAAUAA